RNAcentral lists this ribosomal RNA (347 nucleotides) under Climacostomum virens. RNAcentral's name for it is "partial Eukaryotic small subunit ribosomal RNA". It matches the Rfam family "Eukaryotic small subunit ribosomal RNA", at positions 308 to 626 of the family's 1831-position model. Lineage: Eukaryota; Ciliophora; Heterotrichea; Heterotrichida; Climacostomidae. The record is from RNAcentral.
UUAUCUAUCAACUUUCGAUGAUUGUAUAGAGGACAAUCAUGGUUUUAACGGGUAACAGAGAAUAAGGGUUUUAUUCUGGAGAGGGAGCCUAGAGAAAUUGCUACCACUUCCAAGGAAGGCAGCAGGCGCGAAAAUUACCCAAUAAAAAUACUUUGAGGUAGUAACAAAAAAUAACGACAACAUUUAUGAGAAAAUAAGAGAAUAAAAAUCUUUUAUUUUUUUUAGUUGAUUGUAAUGAGUACAAUUUAAAAAAAUUAAUUAGAAUCAAUUAGAGGGCAAGUCUGGUGCCAGCAGCCGCGGUAAUUCCAGCUCUAAUAGCGUAUAUUUAAGUUGUUGUAUUUAAAAAG